UUUCCGUAGGUGAACCUGCGGAAGGAUCAUUACAGAGUUCAUGCCCUCACGGGUAGAUCUCCCACCCUUGAAUAUUUAUACCUUAGUUGCUUUGGCAGGCCGUGGAAACACCAUGGGCUCCGGCUUAUGCGUGCCUGCCAGAGGAAACAAACUCUGUUUUUAGUGAUGUCUGAGUACUAUAUAAUAGUUAAAACUUUCAACAACGGAUCUCUUGGUUCUGGCAUAGAUGAAGAACGGCAGC
This 241-nucleotide unclassified non-coding RNA is filed under the name plant metagenome. Its description in RNAcentral is "partial contains small subunit ribosomal RNA, internal transcribed spacer 1, and 5.8S ribosomal RNA". The record is from RNAcentral.